This 73-nucleotide transfer RNA is filed under the name Synechococcus phage S-CBWM1. It matches the Rfam family "tRNA". From Rfam's summary of the family: Transfer RNA (tRNA) molecules are approximately 80 nucleotides in length. Their secondary structure includes four short double-helical elements and three loops (D, anti-codon, and T loops). Further hydrogen bonds mediate the characteristic L-shaped molecular structure. tRNAs have two regions of fundamental functional importance: the anti-codon, which is responsible for specific mRNA codon recognition, and the 3' end, to which the tRNAs corresponding amino acid is attached (by aminoacyl-tRNA synthetases). tRNAs cope with the degeneracy of the genetic code in two manners: having more than one tRNA (with a specific anti-codon) for a particular amino acid; and 'wobble' base-pairing, i.e. permitting non-standard base-pairing at the 3rd anti-codon position. The record is from Rfam by way of RNAcentral. Lineage: Duplodnaviria; Heunggongvirae; Uroviricota; Caudoviricetes.
GCCUGAUUAACUCAGCGGACAGAGUGCUUGGCUUCGAACCAAGUGGUCGGGAGUUCGAAUCUCUCAUCAGGCG